AAAGUACUAGAGCAUAUACUGCCCAUCCAGUCCAUGAGGCACUGUACUUGUACUAGCUUGAAAGGUUCUCUGAUAGUGGCGCAUGGCCACUGUCUCCUUACAUAGGCAGCAAGUUCCCAGAGGGAAGAGGCACCGGCAUGUUUCACUAUAUCCCCCGAAACGCCCCGAGCUCAAGGAUGGGUUCAUGGUGGAUGGAGACAAGGACUCCUGAUGAACCGACUGACCAGUUGCCACGGACUUUCAUUCCAUCCUUAGAGAAAUCUCCAUCUUACAGGUGAGGAAGCUGAGGCUUUGAGAAAUGAAGUGGAUGAAGGUCACACAGAUAUUAAGUGACGAAUCUGAACCCGGGUUCCUCGCCAGAGCUCUGGCCAAUACGUCUUAGUUGAACGAUUUCAGACACGCGGUCUUGGAGGACAAGGAGACCAGAUGCUUUUGUCACUGCUGUGGCGAUACGUAUUUGCCAUUCACAACGCAGCCCAGCUUCUCUGCUGCACAGUCGAGAAAACAGAGGAAGACGUUUCCAGAGAGGAAAUGCAGCCAUGGUCAACAGCAAAUUAGUGAUGUGUAAUUCGUUAUCUCUUGUGUGUAACAAAUCAUCCCCAAACUCAGCAACUUAAAAAAAAACCCAAACAUUUAUUGA
Felis catus (domestic cat) is the source of this 640-nucleotide long non-coding RNA. RefSeq lists it as uncharacterized. The record is from RefSeq and is a predicted model, not a curated record. NCBI's taxonomy places the organism in Eukaryota, Metazoa, Chordata, Mammalia, Carnivora, Felidae. The transcript is spliced from 2 exons.